CGGCGAGUGGCGAACGGGUGAGUAAUACAUCGGAACGUGUCCUGUAGUGGGGGAUAGCCCGGCGAAAGCCGGAUUAAUACCGCAUACGAUCUACGGAUGAAAGCGGGGGAUCGCAAGACCUCGCGCUAUAGGGGCGGCCGAUGGCGGAUUAGCUAGUUGGUGGGGUAAAGGCCCACCAAGGCGACGAUCCGUAGCUGGUCUGAGAGGACGACCAGCCACACUGGGACUGAGACACGGCCCAGACUCCUACGGGAGGCAGCAGUGGGGAAUUUUGGACAAUGGGCGCAAGCCUGAUCCAGCAAUGCCGCGUGUGUGAAGAAGGCCUUCGGGUUGUAAAGCACUUUUGUCCGGAAAGAAAUCCUCUGGGUUAAUACCCCGGGGGGAUGACGGUACCGGAAGAAUAAGCACCGGCUAACUACGUGCCAGCAGCCGCGGUAAUACGUAGGGUGCGAGCGUUAAUCGGAAUUACUGGGCGUAAAGCGUGCGCAGGCGGUGAUGUAAGACCGAUGUGAAAUCCCCGGGCUUAACCUGGGAACUGCAUUGGUGACUGCAUCGCUGGAGUAUGGCAGAGGGGGGUAGAAUCCACGUGUAGCAGUGAAAUGCGUAGAGAUGUGGAGGAAUACCGAUGGCGAAGGCAGCCCCCUGGGCCCAUACUGACGCUCAUGCACGAAAGCGUGGGGAGCAAACAGGAUU
Molecule: ribosomal RNA, 693 nt
Filed under: Burkholderia sp. Ms117
Lineage: Bacteria; Pseudomonadati; Pseudomonadota; Betaproteobacteria; Burkholderiales; Burkholderiaceae
Also listed under: 1 other name
Description: bacterial SSU rRNA
Rfam family: Bacterial small subunit ribosomal RNA
Source: RNAcentral